This 253-nucleotide ribosomal RNA is filed under the name uncultured bacterium. RNAcentral's name for it is "partial 16S ribosomal RNA". It matches the Rfam family "Bacterial small subunit ribosomal RNA", at positions 524 to 776 of the family's 1533-position model. The record is from RNAcentral.
UACGUAGGGUGCGAGCGUUAAUCGGAAUUACUGGGCGUAAAGCGUGCGCAGGCGGUUCGUUAUGUCCGUUGUGAAAGCCCCGGGCUCAACCUGGGAAUGGCAAUGGAAACUGGCGGGCUAGAGUGUGGCAGAGGGGGGUGGAAUUCCGCGUGUAGCAGUGAAAUGCGUAGAGAUGGGGAGGAACACCGAUGGCGAAGGCAGCCCCCUGGGCUAGCACUGACGCUCAGGCACGAAAGCGUGGGGAGCAAACAGG